UCACAGGCGCAAGUGCCGCAAACGCAGAGCCGCUCGGCAGUGGAGCUGUGUCAGGGGAAGCGGUCACACAGGGAGAGCCCGGAGAUGCUGUCCCACGGGAGCCCUUUGCCACGCCCUAGGAAAGGGAGAGAAAGGUCCAGGCUGCAAUUUCCCUAUAGCAUCACUGCAAUGGAGUUCAGUCCUAAUGAGUGUAGUUCUAAAUCUGUAAUCCAGUAACACAUGAGUCUUUAGAUCAAGAUCAUAGUUCAGUAGCUGUCAGGGAGUCCAUCAAGUCACCCAGGCCACCAGAACUGCAUGUGACAGGCCAAGAAUAUAAAAGACCUAAGUGCAUGGAGUUGGAGGAGCUGCUCCUUUUGCUGUAGUUACUGAAGACCAGGAUCUAGGUCCCAAGAGGACAUAAAGGGAAACUCCUGACACUGGAACUACACUCUUCUGUGCCAUUAGAAGGCUGUUGAGGAAGCUAGCCCAAGAGGAAGAAAAUGAAGCCGUUUUGUAGGAUCAGAGUGGAGACCCAGGUGCUGAGGAAAAAGGAAGAGACUAAGAAAAGAGAUGGAAGAACUCAUAAACAAGAUUGCUCAUGUUGGAUUCUGGAUGAACAGCAAGAUCCAGUUUUCACUGCUGAUGGAAAUUUUUAAACAGCAAGAAUAUAAAUCUGUGAAGAGGGAAACAUACAAAGCUACAAGAUGGAGGUAUAUGAGAAUCCUUGACAUAGCUUAGAAACACAAAGUUGGUCUUAGUUUAUCUGUUUGGUAAAUCCUGUAUUAAAAUUCUUGCUGCUCCUCAGAAAAUUCUGCGGAUUUGUAAACCAGCUGUUUAUUUCCUUCAGUCCUAAUCUUAUGUUUGUAAUAAAAGCAUUUGGAAACUUCA
Long non-coding RNA from Parus major (Great Tit), 867 nucleotides. RefSeq lists it as uncharacterized. Lineage: Eukaryota; Metazoa; Chordata; Aves; Passeriformes; Paridae. The transcript is spliced from 3 exons. The record is from RefSeq and is a predicted model, not a curated record.